RNAcentral lists this ribosomal RNA (1228 nucleotides) under Salmonella enterica subsp. enterica serovar Virchow. RNAcentral's name for it is "partial 23S ribosomal RNA". It matches the Rfam family "Bacterial large subunit ribosomal RNA", at positions 1 to 1257 of the family's 2925-position model. Lineage: Bacteria; Pseudomonadati; Pseudomonadota; Gammaproteobacteria; Enterobacterales; Enterobacteriaceae. The record is from RNAcentral.
GGGUUGUGAGGUUAAGCGACUAAGCGUACACGGUGGAUGCCCUGGCAGUCAGAGGCGAUGAAGGACGUGCUAAUCUGCGAUAAGCGCCGGUAAGGUGAUAUGAACCGUUAUAACCGGCGAUUUCCGAAUGGGGAAACCCAGUGUGAUUCGUCACACUAUCAUUAACUGAAUCCAUAGGUUAAUGAGGCGAACCGGGGGAACUGAAACAUCUAAGUACCCCGAGGAAAAGAAAUCAACCGAGAUUCCCCCAGUAGCGGCGAGCGAACGGGGAGGAGCCCAGAGCCUGAAUCAGCAUGUGUGUUAGUGGAAGCGUCUGGAAAGGCGCGCGAUACAGGGUGACAGCCCCGUACACAAAAGCGCAUGUGCUGUGAGCUCGAUGAGUAGGGCGGGACACGUGGUAUCCUGUCUGAAUAUGGGGGGACCAUCCUCCAAGGCUAAAUACUCCUGACUGACCGAUAGUGAACCAGUACCGUGAGGGAAAGGCGAAAAGAACCCCGGCGAGGGGAGUGAAAAAGAACCUGAAACCGUGUACGUACAAGCAGUGGGAGCACAGGUUUACCUGUGUGACUGCGUACCUUUUGUAUAAUGGGUCAGCGACUUAUAUUCUGUAGCAAGGUUAACCGAAUAGGGGAGCCGGAGGGAAACCGAGUCUUAAUUGGGCGUUAAGUUGCAGGGUAUAGACCCGAAACCCGGUGAUCUAGCCAUGGGCAGGUUGAAGGUUGGGUAACACUAACUGGAGGACCGAACCGACUAAUGUUGAAAAAUUAGCGGAUGACCUGUGGCUGGGGGUGAAAGGCCAAUCAAACCGGGAGAUAGCUGGUUCUCCCCGAAAGCUAUUUAGGUAGCGCCUCGUGAAUUCAUCUCCGGGGGUAGAGCACUGUUUCGGCUAGGGGGCCAUCCCGGCUUACCAACCCGAUGCAAACUGCGAAUACCGGAGAAUGUUAUCACGGGAGACACACGGCGGGUGCUAACGUCCGUCGUGAAGAGGGAAACAACCCAGACCGCCAGCUAAGGUCCCAAAGUCAUGGUUAAGUGGGAAACGAUGUGGGAAGGCCCAGACAGCCAGGAUGUUGGCUUAGAAGCAGCCAUCAUUUAAAGAAAGCGUAAUAGCUCACUGGUCGAGUCGGCCUGCGCGGAAGAUGUAACGGGGCUAAACCAUGCACCGAAGCUGCGGCAGCGACACUCAGGUGUUGUUGGGUAGGGGAGCGUUCUGUAAGCCUGUGAAGGU